GCAUCACGUGGGGCAAGGUGGUGUCCCUGUAUGCGGUGGCCGCGGGGCUGGCCGUGGACUGUGUGAGGCAGGCCCAGCCUGCCAUGGUCCACGCCCUCGUGGACUGCCUGGGGGAGUUCGUGCGCAAGACCCUGGCAACCUGGCUGCGGAGACGCGGCGGAUGGACUGAUGUCCUCAAGUGUGUGGUCAGCACAGACCCUGGCCUCCGCUCCCACUGGCUGGUGGCUGCACUCUGCAGCUUCGGCCGCUUCCUGAAGGCUGCCUUCUUCGUGCUGCUGCCAGAGAGAUGAGCUGCCCACCUGGCAGUGGCCGCAGCCUGGCCCUCUGGGCCCAACGCAGGAGGCCCUCAGCACCCGAACACAUCUUCCUCCUCCCCACCCGAGCCUGGAGCACUCUAACCCUCGGAGACCCCCUAAGCCCCGUUCCUCCGCAGACCCAGGCCCUCCGGAAGGG
This 453-nucleotide non-coding RNA is filed under the name Homo sapiens (human). The record is from RNAcentral. Lineage: Eukaryota; Metazoa; Chordata; Mammalia; Primates; Hominidae.